This 1065-nucleotide ribosomal RNA is filed under the name Enterococcus faecium. Its description in RNAcentral is "bacterial SSU rRNA". It matches the Rfam family "Bacterial small subunit ribosomal RNA", at positions 8 to 1043 of the family's 1533-position model. Lineage: Bacteria; Bacillati; Bacillota; Bacilli; Lactobacillales; Enterococcaceae. The record is from RNAcentral.
AGAGUUUGAUCCUGGCUCAGGACGAACGCUGGCGGCGUGCCUAAUACAUGCAAGUCGAACGCUUCUUUUUCCACCGGAGCUUGCUCCACCGGAAAAAGAGGAGUGGCGAACGGGUGAGUAACACGUGGGUAACCUGCCCAUCAGAAGGGGAUAACACUUGGAAACAGGUGCUAAUACCGUAUAACAAUCNNNNNNNNNNGGUUUUGAUUUGAAAGGCGCUUUCGGGUGUCGCUGAUGGAUGGACCCGCGGUGCAUUAGCUAGUUGGUGAGGUAACGGCUCACCAAGGCCACGAUGCAUAGCCGACCUGAGAGGGUGAUCGGCCACAUUGGGACUGAGACACGGCCCAAACUCCUACGGGAGGCAGCAGUAGGGAAUCUUCGGCAAUGGACGAAAGUCUGACCGAGCAACGCCGCGUGAGUGAAGAAGGUUUUCGGAUCGUAAAACUCUGUUGUUAGAGAAGAACAAGGAUGAGAGUAACUGUUCAUCCCUUGACGGUAUCUAACCAGAAAGCCACGGCUAACUACGUGCCAGCAGCCGCGGUAAUACGUAGGUGGCAAGCGUUGUCCGGAUUUAUUGGGCGUAAAGCGAGCGCAGGCGGUUUCUUAAGUCUGAUGUGAAAGCCCCCGGCUCAACCGGGGAGGGUCAUUGGAAACUGGGAGACUUGAGUGCAGAAGAGGAGAGUGGAAUUCCAUGUGUAGCGGUGAAAUGCGUAGAUAUAUGGAGGAACACCAGUGGCGAAGGCGGCUCUCUGGUCUGUAACUGACGCUGAGGCUCGAAAGCGUGGGGAGCAAACAGGAUUAGAUACCCUGGUAGUCCACGCCGUAAACGAUGAGUGCUAAGUGUUGGAGGGUUUCCGCCCUUCAGUGCUGCAGCUAACGCAUUAAGCACUCCGCCUGGGGAGUACGACCGCAAGGUUGAAACUCAAAGGAAUUGACGGGGGCCCGCACAAGCGGUGGAGCAUGUGGUUUAAUUCGAAGCAACGCGAAGAACCUUACCAGGUCUUGACAUCCUUUGACCACUCUAGAGAUAGAGCUUCCCCUUCGGGGGCAAAGUGACAGGUGGUG